UCCGAGUUGACCCCGGCAGUCUCCCAUGAGUCCCCACCCGAAGUGCUGGCAACAUGGAACGAGGGUUGCGCUCGUUGCGGGACUUAACCCAACAUCUCACGACACGAGCUGACGACAACCAUGCACCACCUGUGGACCGGCCCCGAAGGGAAGCCCCAUCUCUGGAGCGAUCCGGCCCAUGUCAAGCCUUGGUAAGGUUCUUCGCGUUGCAUCGAAUUAAUCCGCAUGCUCCGCCGCUUGUGCGGGCCCCCGUCAAUUCCUUUGAGUUUUAGCCUUGCGGCCGUACUCCCCAGGCGGGGCACUUAAUGCGUUAGCUGCGGCGCGGAGGACGUGGAAUGCCCCCCACACCUAGUGCCCAACGUUUACGGCGUGGACUAC
This 378-nucleotide unclassified non-coding RNA is filed under the name Sinomonas albida. RNAcentral's name for it is "contains 16S-23S intergenic spacer region". The record is from RNAcentral. Lineage: Bacteria; Bacillati; Actinomycetota; Actinomycetes; Micrococcales; Micrococcaceae.